This 253-nucleotide ribosomal RNA is filed under the name uncultured bacterium. RNAcentral describes it as "partial 16S ribosomal RNA". It matches the Rfam family "Bacterial small subunit ribosomal RNA", at positions 524 to 776 of the family's 1533-position model. The record is from RNAcentral.
UACGAAGGGGGCUAGCGUUGUUCGGAAUUACUGGGCGUAAAGGGCGCGUAGGCGGUUUGUCAAGUCAGGCGUGAAAGCCCCGGGCUCAACCUGGGAACCGCGCUUGAGACUGGCAGGCUCGAGUUCGGGAGAGGAUGGUGGAAUUCCCAGUGUAGAGGUGAAAUUCGUAGAUAUUGGGAAGAACACCGAUGGCGAAGGCAGCCAUCUGGACCGACACUGACGCUGAGGCGCGAAAGCGUGGGGAGCAAACAGG